GAUCCUUAUGGCAGCAUGAGGAAAGCUCCAGGGAGUGAUCCCUUCAUGUCCUCAGGGCAGGGCCCCAAUGGCGGGAUGGGUGACCCCUACAGUCGUGCUGCCGGCCCUGGGCUAGGAAAUGUGGCGAUGGGACCACGACAGCAUUAUCCCUAUGGAGGUCCUUAUGACAGAGUGAGGUAAGCAUGACCCCAGCUCCUGUCCACUCCUCCAGCACCCUGAAGCUAUAGUGGGCUCAAUCUGCCUCUCCAAUUUUGUUUAGGACGGAGCCUGGAAUAGGGCCUGAGGGAAACAUGAGCACUGGGGCCCCACAGCCGAAUCUCAUGCCUUCCAACCCAGACUCGGGGAUGUAUUCUCCUAGCCGCUACCCCCCGCAGCAGCAGCAGCAGCAGCAACGACAUGAUUCCUAUGGCAAUCAGUUCUCCACCCAAGGCACCCCUUCUGGCAGCCCCUUCCCCAGCCAGCAGACUACAAUGUAUCAACAGCAGCAGCAGAAUUACAAGCGGCCAAUGGAUGGCACAUAUGGCCCUCCUGCCAAGCGGCACGAAGGGGAGAUGUACAGCGUGCCAUACAGCACUGGGCAGGGGCAGCCUCAGCAGCAGCAGUUGCCCCCAGCCCAGCCCCAGCCUGCCAGCCAGCAACAAGCUGCCCAGCCUUCCCCUCAGCAAGAUGUGUACAACCAGUAUGGCAAUGCCUAUCCUGCCACUGCCACCGCUGCUACUGAGCGCCGACCAGCAGGCGGCCCCCAGAACCAAUUUCCAUUCCAGUUUGGCCGAGACCGUGUCUCUGCACCCCCUGGCACCAAUGCCCAGCAAAACAUGCCGCAAAUGAUGGGCGGCCCCAUACAGGCAUCAGCUGAGGUUGCUCAGCAAGGCACUAUGUGGCAGGGGCGUAAUGACAUGACCUAUAAUUAUGCCAACAGGCAGAGCACGGGCUCUGCCCCCCAGGGCCCCGCCUAUCAUGGCGUGAACCGAACAGAUGAAAUGCUGCACACAGAUCAGAGGGCCAACCACGAAGGCCCGUGGCCUUCCCAUGGCACACGCCAGCCCCCAUAUGGUCCCUCUGCCCCUGUGCCCCCCAUGACAAGGCCCCCUCCAUCUAACUACCAGCCCCCGCCAAGCAUGC
This 1122-nucleotide small RNA is filed under the name Pongo abelii (Sumatran orangutan). RNAcentral's name for it is "retained intron". The record is from RNAcentral. Lineage: Eukaryota; Metazoa; Chordata; Mammalia; Primates; Hominidae.